GACCCUCUUCCGAUGUGGAAGAGUCAAACUACGUCUACAAAAUGUCAAUAUCAUGCUGCUGCUUCAAACCCAAAAUGGUGUUUGGAUGUAAAAUGGAAUUUUAGUUGUCGUAGUAGGCAGACUAUUAGGAAUGUAGAUCCAAUAAUUACAUGUAGACCAUGGAAUCCUGUUGCUAUGAAGAAUGUAGAUCCGUAAACGCCAUCUGAAAUAGAGAAUGAUGUUUCAAAAUAUUCUGAAGCUUGAAGUAAGGUAAAGUAUAAGCCUAGUAUAAUAGUGAUGAGUAGGGCUUGAUUUAUGUUCUUUCGUUUACCUUCUAGUAGACUGUGGUGAGCUCAUGUGAUUGAAACGCCAGAUGCUAGAAGAACUGAUGUAUUUAGUAGUGGAACUUCUAGGGGAUUUAGUGGAAUAAUUCCUGUUGGUGG
Molecule: non-coding RNA, 422 nt
Organism: Arvicanthis niloticus (Nile rat)
Lineage: Eukaryota; Metazoa; Chordata; Mammalia; Rodentia; Muridae
Source: RefSeq, a predicted model, not a curated record